RNAcentral lists this long non-coding RNA (340 nucleotides) under Nicotiana benthamiana. RNAcentral's name for it is "long non-coding RNA (NBEN_LNC037997)". The record is from RNAcentral. Lineage: Eukaryota; Viridiplantae; Streptophyta; Magnoliopsida; Solanales; Solanaceae.
UUAAAUUUGUUUCGAUUUUCCUCUCUCACAUCUUAUCUAAACCAUAUUUUACUUAAAAUUGUUCUUAUUAAACACUUAUUCCAGACAUGAUAUGGUGUGUGUAAUACACCUAAACCCAGUGUGAAGGUCAUAUAUUUAGCCAAAACUUUUAAAAUCUCUUCUUCUCCAUUCUUUCUUUGCCACCGCUUCCUCCACCAUCGACCAUCGUCCUGCAGCCGCGUUCUUCGACACACAAGCACUGCAAUAAGUAUUUCUUCAUUUUUUUCAGAUCUGGAAACCAUCACUACAAUGACUGGUUUGUUUAGUAAGAAGAAGAAAAGGAGAGGGAGGGAUGGAUAGG